GAUGAACGCUGGCGGCGCGCCUAACACAUGCAAGUCGAACGGCACCCCUCUCCGGAGGGAAGCGAGUGGCGAACGGCUGAGUAACACGUGGAGAACCUGCCCCCUCCCCCGGGAUAGCCGCCCGAAAGGACGGGUAAUACCGGAUACCCCCGGGCGCCGCAUGGCGCCCGGGCUAAAGCCCCGACGGGAGGGGAUGGCUCCGCGGCCCAUCAGGUAGACGGCGGGGUGACGGCCCACCGUGCCGACAACGGGUAGCCGGGUUGAGAGACCGACCGGCCAGAUUGGGACUGAGACACGGCCCAGACUCCUACGGGAGGCAGCAGUGGGGAAUCUUGCGCAAUGGGGGGAACCCUGACGCAGCGACGCCGCGUGCGGGACGGAGGCCUUCGGGUCGUAAACCGCUUUCAGCAGGGAAGAGUCAAGACUGUACCUGCAGAAGAA
This 441-nucleotide ribosomal RNA is filed under the name uncultured bacterium. Its description in RNAcentral is "bacterial SSU rRNA". It matches the Rfam family "Bacterial small subunit ribosomal RNA", at positions 28 to 489 of the family's 1533-position model. The record is from RNAcentral.